AGAGUUUGAUCAUGGCUCAGGAUGAACGCUGGCGGCGUGCCUAACACAUGCAAGUCGAACGAGUCUGAUUCUUCGGAAAAAGGCUAGUGGCGCACGGGUGAGUAAUACGUAGGUGACCUGCCCCGAAGUGGGGGAUAACUUCUCGAAAGAGAGGCUAAUACCGCAUAUGCUCGGCCAUUCAGUUGGUUGAGUAAAGUCGUGAGACGCUUCGGGAGGGGCCUGCGUCCGAUUAGCUUGUUGGUGGGGUAAUGGCCUACCAAGGCGAUGAUCGGUAGCUGGUCUGAGAGGACGAUCAGCCACACUGGCACUGACACACGGGCCAGACUCCUACGGGAGGCAGCAGUGAGGAAUAUUGGUCAAUGGGCGAAAGCCUGAACCAGCAACGCCGCGUGAGGGAUGAAGGCCUUCGGGUUGUAAACCUCUUUUCUGGGAGAAGAGACAAGGACGGUAUCCCAGGAAUAAGUCUCGGCUAACUACGUGCCAGCAGCCGCGAUAAAACGUAGGAGGCUAGCGUUAUCCGGAUUUACUGGGCGUAAAGCGCACGCAGGCGGUUGCGUAAGUCGGACGUGAAAGCUCCUGGCUCAACUGGGAGAGGUCGUUCGAUACUGCGUAACUUGAGGUUGGGAGAGGAGAGCGGAAUUCCCGGUGUAGUGGUGGAAUGCGUAGAUAUCGGGAGGAACACCAGUGGCGAAAGCGGCUCUCUGGCCCACACCUGACGCUCAGGUGCGAAAGCGUGGGUAGCGAACGGGAUUAGAUACCCCGGUAGUCCACGC
RNAcentral lists this ribosomal RNA (773 nucleotides) under uncultured bacterium. RNAcentral's name for it is "bacterial SSU rRNA". It matches the Rfam family "Bacterial small subunit ribosomal RNA", at positions 8 to 800 of the family's 1533-position model. The record is from RNAcentral.